RNAcentral lists this ribosomal RNA (433 nucleotides) under uncultured bacterium. Its description in RNAcentral is "partial 16S ribosomal RNA". It matches the Rfam family "Bacterial small subunit ribosomal RNA", at positions 29 to 507 of the family's 1533-position model. The record is from RNAcentral.
AACGAACGCUGGCGGCAUGCCUAACACAUGCAAGUCGAACGAGACCUUCGGGUCUAGUGGCGCACGGGUGCGUAACGCGUGGGAACCUGCCCCUAGGUUCGGAAUAACUCCCCGAAAGGGGUGCUAAUACCGGAUAAUGUCUUCGGACCAAAAAUUUAUCGCCUUUGGAUGGGCCCGCGUUGGAUUAGCUAGUUGGUAGGGUAAAAGCCUACCAAGGCGACGAUCCAUAGCUGGUCUGAGAGGAUGAUCAGCCACACUGGGACUGAGACACGGCCCAGACUCCUACGGGAGGCAGCAGUGGGGAAUAUUGGACAAUGGGCGAAAGCCUGAUCCAGCAAUGCCGCGUGAGUGAUGAAGGCCUUAGGGUUGUAAAGCUCUUUUACCCGGGAUGAUAAUGACAGUACCGGGAGAAUAAGCUCCGGCUAACUCCGUG